RNAcentral lists this ribosomal RNA (275 nucleotides) under uncultured Prochlorococcus sp. Its description in RNAcentral is "partial 16S ribosomal RNA". It matches the Rfam family "Bacterial small subunit ribosomal RNA", at positions 1259 to 1533 of the family's 1533-position model. The record is from RNAcentral. Lineage: Bacteria; Bacillati; Cyanobacteriota; Cyanophyceae; Synechococcales; Prochlorococcaceae.
GAGAGCUAGCAAUCCCAUAAACCGUGGCUCAGUUCAGAUCGUAGGCUGCAACUCGCCUACGUGAAGUAGGAAUCGCUAGUAAUCGCAGGUCAGCAUACUGCGGUGAAUACGUUCCCGGGCCUUGUACACACCGCCCGUCACACCAUGGAAGUUGGCCAUGCCCGAAGUCGUUACUCCAACCCUUGUGGAGGAGGACGCCGAAGGUGGGGCCAAUGACUGGGGUGAAGUCGUAACAAGGUAGCCGUACCGGAAGGUGCGGCUGGAUCACCUCCUAA